CCAAUAGCGUAUAUUAAAGUUGUUGUGGUUAAAAAGCUCGUAGUUGAACCUUGGGCCUGGCUGGCCGGUCCGCCUCACCGCGUGUACUGGUCCGGCCGGGCCUUUCCCUCUGCGGAACCCCAUGCCCUUCACUGGGUGUGGCGGGGAAGCAGGACUUUUACUUUGAAAAAAUUAGAGUGCUCCAGGCAGGCCUAUGCUCGAAUACAUUAGCAUGGAAUAAUAGAAUAGGACGCGCGGUUCUAUUUUGUUGGUUUCUAGGACCGCCGUAAUGAUGAAUAGGGACAGUCGGGGGCAUCAGUAUUCAAUCGUCAGAGGUGAAAUUCUUGGAUUGAUUGAAGACUAACUACUGCGAAAGCAUUUGCCAAGGAUGUUUUCAUUAAUCAGGAACGAAAGUUAGGGGAUCGAAGACGAUCAGAUACCGUCGUAGUCUUAACCAUAAACUAUGCCGACUAGGGAUCGGACGGUGUUAUUUUUUGACCCGUCCGGCACCUUACG
This 495-nucleotide ribosomal RNA is filed under the name uncultured Glomeromycotina. RNAcentral's name for it is "partial small subunit ribosomal RNA". It matches the Rfam family "Eukaryotic small subunit ribosomal RNA", at positions 591 to 1092 of the family's 1831-position model. The record is from RNAcentral. Lineage: Eukaryota; Fungi; Glomeromycota.